This 253-nucleotide ribosomal RNA is filed under the name uncultured bacterium. RNAcentral describes it as "partial 16S ribosomal RNA". It matches the Rfam family "Bacterial small subunit ribosomal RNA", at positions 524 to 776 of the family's 1533-position model. The record is from RNAcentral.
UACGGAGGGUGCAAGCGUUAUCCGGAUUCACUGGGUUUAAAGGGUGCGUAGGUGGGUUGGUAAGUCAGUGGUGAAAUCUCCGAGCUUAACUUGGAAACUGCCAUUGAUACUAUCAAUCUUGAAUAUUGUGGAGGUCAGCGGAAUAUGUCAUGUAGCGGUGAAAUGCUUAGAUAUGACAUAGAACACCAAUUGCGAAGGCAGCUGGCUGCACAAAUAUUGACACUGAGGCACGAAAGCGUGGGGAUCAAACAGG